RNAcentral lists this unclassified non-coding RNA (354 nucleotides) under soil metagenome. RNAcentral's name for it is "partial contains 5.8S ribosomal RNA, internal transcribed spacer 2, and large subunit ribosomal RNA". The stretch from base 1 to 120 matches the Rfam family "5.8S ribosomal RNA", at positions 35 to 154 of the family's 154-position model. The record is from RNAcentral.
GAUGAAGAACGUAGCGAAAUGCGAUAAGUAAUGUGAAUUGCAGAAUUCCGUGAAUCAUCGAAUCUUUGAACGCACAUUGCGCCCCCUGGCAUUCCGGGGGGCAUGCCUGUCCGAGCGUCAUUUCUGCCCUCCAGCCCGGCUGGGUGUUGGGCGCUGUCCCCCCGGGGACACGCCCCAAAGGCAGUGGCGGCGCCGCGUCGGGUCCUCGAGCGUAUGGGGCUUUGUCACCCGCCCGGGACGGACUCGUCGGCGCUGGUCUUCCUCCAGGCGACCCUUCGGGGCUCGUCUUCCUUCGGUUGACCUCGGAUCAGGUAGGGUUACCCGCUGAACUUAAGCAUAUCAAUAAGCGGAGGA